RNAcentral lists this ribosomal RNA (253 nucleotides) under uncultured bacterium. RNAcentral's name for it is "partial 16S ribosomal RNA". It matches the Rfam family "Bacterial small subunit ribosomal RNA", at positions 524 to 776 of the family's 1533-position model. The record is from RNAcentral.
UACGAAGGGGGCUAGCGUUGCUCGGAUUGACUGGGCGUAAAGGGCGCGUAGGCGGUUUGUACAGUCAGACGUGAAAUUCCUGGGCUCAACCUGGGGGCUGCGUUUGAUACGUAUGGACUUGAGUUCGGAAGAGGGUCGUGGAAUUCCCAGUGUAGAGGUGAAAUUCGUAGAUAUCUGGAGGAAUACCGGUGGCGAAGGCGGCAUCCUGGACCAUUACUGACGCUGAGGCGCGAAAGCUAGGGGAGCAAACGGG